Maniola jurtina (meadow brown) is the source of this 4871-nucleotide long non-coding RNA. RefSeq lists it as uncharacterized. The transcript is spliced from 3 exons. NCBI's taxonomy places the organism in Eukaryota, Metazoa, Arthropoda, Insecta, Lepidoptera, Nymphalidae. The record is from RefSeq and is a predicted model, not a curated record.
CUUUAUAAUAUUAUUAUAUAUUCAAGGUUCUCUAAAAAAAUAACAUGGCUGUUUAUUCUAAUUGUAUGACAUUAUGAAAUCAGCACCGAAAAUCGUCCAUUCUUAUUAGGAAUUUAAUUGUUAAUUUUGAUAUAAAUAAAAAAUAAAAAUUAUUAAUGCAUGCAAUAAAAUUAAAUUGAUAUUUUUUCCUAAUUGUAUCAUAAGUGUAAAUUAAAUUACGUUUCUAACAUUAUUCGAGAAUUCAUUGUUAUAUAAUUGAUUUGCGAAUGUUUUUUUAUAUAUUUGUAAUUUAAUAUUAGUAGUAAGGUAUGUGAAAUAGUGAUUUUUAACGCAAUAAUUAUGGUUUUUGUGUUUGAUAUAUUAGCUAACUCCUUUAAGCGUACCCAGAUUAUCCUACCCGAUAUCAUGACACGUAAAAUGAAUAAAUUAUUGAUAAUACGGGUUAGAUAACGAUAACGGUAUCGGGAACGAUACCGAUAACGUUAUUUAUACCGGUUAAAUACUUCAUACAGUUUCAAGUCUCGACAUCGGUUCGGAUAAUGUGGAAACGUUUCAGAGCGGUACGGAACUCGAUUUUGUCCCGGUGCUUUUUUAUAACCUAAUGGUAGCCAUAUUCUAGUGUGAGAGAAAAGCCAUCAAACCCAUUAUUAGGUACAAGGGUAUAGUUACUAAUUAAAUUCCAAUCUCGGAUCGUACAAUGUUUAGGCUGAGCGUUUUUCGAUAUGCGUAGGUAUUUUUAAUGAAGUUAUUUAAUCUUGUAAUGAUAAAAACGAAAACAUUCUAGAAUAAGAAUUUAUUUUACAUGUUAAAAUCUUAUUUUAAUUAAAUUACGUAUCCACUGCUGCGCAAUAGCCCUGCUGAUAUGAUAACGUUGUGCAAUUAAUGUACAGUACCGUAGUUUGAGGUGGGUUGUAGCCCCCCUUUUUAGACUCAAUCAUUUAUCUGUGAAAUACGGUAGUGGAACUUCGAGAGACGCUCAGUUGAAAUAUCUGCAGUUUUUUAUGUCAUUCAUAUAUUUCACAAUUCAAUUUUUAAAACCUUAUCCUUACGUGCUAAAAUAGUCGAGUUCUGUGUUACUUCCCAAGUUUUUAGUUUGCUUGUAAACAAAGUACAAAUCAGUAAAUAGUAUGGCAGUGGUUAAUGAACAAAAAUACUUUUAAUAUAAUAUUUGUUUAUUAUAGUGUAAGAUUUCUCUUAUGCCGUGCACGCAUCUUUGAAAUUGCAGUAUAACUAAUAUAAAUAGAAGACUAUUUUUUAGAAAAACAUAUUUGCGUAUAUUGUUUUGCGUGGUUUCCAUACUCCAUUUUACGACGAUCAUGUUGGAAACAAUUUUUUUUCCAUUAAUAGGAAUAGGUCACCCUGUCGAAACUUCGCAAAUACGUAAUAAAGAAGCUGAGAUCAAUAGCGUAUGCUAUGACUUUACUUAAAGCGAGACAGAUUUAUGUCAGAACUCAGAACUUAACUAAGCAAAGUCAAAGUGAACUCAAUAGCUCUCAGGCUGAGAUCUAUAAAGUGCACUUUAACUCGGCUUAGACUUAAGACACUCUUGAAACGAGGCAGCAUGAUACCGCUGGCAUAAAUCUGUCUCGUUUAACUGAAACUCACUUAACGCUUUGUCGUAUGUAUAAAGUUAGUUCACUAUUUGUACAUGUUAUACUGCCGGACAAAAUGGCUGCUCUCCAAAUGUUUCUUACCUCUAUUUAGUAACGAAUGUUUGGGAAACACUCGAGUUUUACACAUAUUAACUAACAAUAGCUACCCACCUACAUCACUGCCUUGUUGACCCCCUGUAUUUCACCCGCGGCUAAAGAAGCUAAGCUAGUAAUUACUUAGUUUGAUUUGCUUUACAAUGAUAUUUUUUAUACUUUUAUUUCCGCGAGUGCAGUGUCACAAAAUAGAGAGGUCAGUGAACGAAAAAUCAUGGAAACCGCGUUUCUAACGAUUGCCAUUCAAAAAUAGGGGCCACAAACUCACGUUUUAAAUACGUAACUUCAACCAAAGCCUCUUGAAUCAUGAUUGGUUCGCAAUGUGUCAUGCGAAAUGAACCGCUGUCGUGAUUGGCCGAUUCAGAGUGACAGUUAGGGAGCUAGAAUCGAACUGAAAAUGCGUUCGGUGGAGUAUAUAAAUAUGCACCACUCACCACCUUAGAUUUUGUUAUCUAUAAUGGAGCGUACGGAAUAUUUCUAUGCUUGGUCGUUCACUGAGAUAGCUACAAUUCGCGUGAUUUUACUUGGUCGACCCGAAUAAUAAACUAGUGCUUAACAAACGAUUGAGAAAUCGAUAUCGAGCAUCCUUAGAGAUUCAGCUAGUCGAGAUUAAUUUCUGGCCGGUCAAUUGAGAUCGCUCACAAGGUCCGUUCAAUACUACGCGCGAUAAAAGGCGUACUCACAAAUGAAAUGGUGCGACAACAAAGUUGACUAAAAGCCAGCUAAAUGUCGGCUCCGUUGAGUAGGCUGAGCUCCAAGUCGCAGAUGUGUGAGUGCGCCUCAACUCGGCCGAUUAUUUUUUUAAAUGUCGGCUGAGUUGAGUUGGCUGAGUUCCAAGUCUCAGAUGUGUGAGUUCGCCUGUUAUGCAACUUUUUAUGGAGUGUAAAAAGAGGUAGCUAAACUAAAUAAAUAGCACCGCCUAACUUCUUUAGCCAUGAUAUUGCAAACACGCCUUGAGUGUAAGUUUUUGAAUUAUCUCGUCAUUGAAAUGUGUUGAUCUGCCGAUUUGUAUUGAUGGCAAGAUUUUGCCAUCCAUACAAAUCGCCAAAGUUCAGAUUUUUGAUGUACUGAUCAUCCACAAAGAACAACAUUUUACUACGACCCAACAUUUUCGAUCCAACGUUUAUCAUCAUCGCAAUAUAUAGGGAUGUUGUAUUGACAUAAUUUCGUUCCAGUGACAAGUUUAGUGUAUAUCUAUAAAAAAUUACACUCUAGGCUUUGCAAUAUCAGUUAAAUAGUCAUUAUUAGGUACAUGAAGGUUGUAAAUUAUAAAAAUUAUUAUCGACACCAAUUUAUGAAAUAAAUCUAAUUUUAUGGAAUUUAAUCGCAGUGUAUUGUUUUUGUCUAUCCCGUAUUUUACUAGAAAUUGUGUUAAUUUUAACUUAAUCCGUAAUUGUCCAAGAUCCUGGGGCCGCCAGAGGUUACUUAUUUUUUGAGAAACAAAAUGUGUGGGAUAGAGUAGUGUUGGUAUGUACUUUUAACAUAUAUAUAUUUGCUAGGACUUCGUCUGUGUUGGUGUUAGCUGGCUGGCGUGCUCUGCCUUUUUCAAACACCUUACACAAGGUCUUUGGCCUUUUUGGAGUGUUUUUUUUUUUUAAACUGACUGGAAAGCGCUCUGAGGGGGUGCCGUGCGUGUGUCGGCGAGCGCCGGCACAGACGGGAUCCAUACUUGUAUAGUUUAACUAACUUGUUACAAAUAACUACAAACUUGACUUUGGCUAAUCUUUGUAAGGCCAGACGAGAGAGAGAAAAAAAAAGAUUACUCACUUUUCUACUCUCACUUAAAAGUACACACUAACACUAAUCUUUUCCGGUUGUCCUUUUGAGGUACGGAACUCUAAAAAACCUUCAGAAAUACAAUAAUUUUGUAAAAAGAACAAGAAUAAGUUUGAGAUGGUGAUGGCCUUCAUAUGGUCGUAGCCAGUAAGCAAAGGUUGCAAUACGCGUAGCACUUGGGGGUUGUUUACUUCUCACCAUUCAAUGAAAUUUUCAUCGAAUUUUUCUUAAUAGCAGCAUAGGUCAAAGACAUUUUUGUUUGUAAUUUUUAUAAUUUUUAUCUGUACCCAAUAACUUGAUAUCUGAUGUUAUUCGCAAUAACUACUUGUAUUUUUCAAACUAUUCAUUUUAUUGAAUUUUCAACAUUAUUUUAAAGGCAUCUUUUCUACUAGGUAUUUAUUAAAAUAAAUGAUUUUAUAAUCCGACAUGCUUGACAGAAGAUAUUUUCCCAAUUUCGUAGCAAAAUGAAAAAGUACUAAAAUCGUGCAAUAUUGAUACACGGCCGCUAUAUCAGCAAGAGGUGCAAAAGCUGUCUUAGCCAUAGAAGUCGGUCGCAUCGGGCGCAUUUCAGAGCCUAUAUCUGCUGAUAUCAUCAAAACUUCUUCAGUGCGCUGGAUGCGGCCGACUCGUGCAUUUGCAUCCCUCGUAAACGACAAUGCCUUGCCUGCGGCUCGUGUCGUGGUCCAGUCGUCUCGUAAUAUUAUCGAGAUUAUCUUAUGUGUUUAAAUUAUAGUUGUGAAAAAGAUUUUGACUUCAUUAUCAUUUGUUAUAUUUGAUUGCUUCUUAAUGAAAAUACAAUAAAUAGGUGUCGGCAUUGUAGAUAUAUUGUACAGCAUUCUCAGAGGACUUGUCGUGUUAUUUUAAAGAACUAUUAACUGAAUUUCAAAACAUAUUGAAGUCCAGAAUGUAAGUUUGAACCAUAGACUAGACGAAAGUGAUAAAUUAAAGUCAUUGAUGUGGCAUAGACUCACUCCCACGCACUUCUUUUACUUUGGAUCCUUUUACGGCUCUUUUUCCUCUGUAGUUCAAACUUAUGUGGCGCGUGAGAAGUCAUUUUUUACGCAUUAUACCAAACUAAUAGAUUACGGAUAUGAAAUUUUUUAGUGCAAUUUCAUCUGCAAUCUCUUAAGAUAACAUGCAAAACUAAAAAAUAACGCGAUAAGACCUCCUUAUUUUUACCUAUCAGAGAUUAGGCAAUUAAGAGGACGAUUAUUAUAAAACUAUUUAUGAAAUGCAAUAGCAAGGAAAUAGGAACGAAUCGCUAGCAAUGGGUAACAUUUACCCGAGACGAAAUUUAUAUAGUGGUGUACAUUUUUGAUAUGAUGUUGUACAAAAGAGACAUUUGGUAUGUUAUUUUAUAGGAAUGAAUAAAUAGCCUUAAUAAACAAA